This is a non-coding RNA of Nicotiana tabacum (common tobacco), 1990 nucleotides long. NCBI's taxonomy places the organism in Eukaryota, Viridiplantae, Streptophyta, Magnoliopsida, Solanales, Solanaceae. The record is from RefSeq and is a predicted model, not a curated record.
UCCCACUCUCUUACUCUGUAUCUCUCUCUAUACUCUCUCCUCGCCUCUCUCAAGUACGUUCUCAACGGCACCAGCAAAAUCCGCGACAGAGUCUUCAUCAAAUCUCUCUGUUGGUUUUCUCCCUUCAAAUAGUGGAAUGUAGGAGGGCCCUCAAUGUUUCCAGAGUUCUGGUAGUGCAACUAUGUUUUGAUGCUUUAUUUAAUCGUGCUUAUUGAAAAUACCAGUUUUGACCGAGCUUUUGCUUUCUUAUAUCUAUUGUCUAAUUACUUGGUUGGAUAAUGCAAAUAGAGAAUCUACAGUAAGAGCACUGUAAUGUAAAUAGAAAAUAUCAGUUGUGACCGAGCUUUUUUUAGACUGUUCUUGUUCCAUUUUUAAACAAAUGUACAUAGGAAUUUAUGUUGUACUUUCAUAUUGUUUUGGUAUUACUUGCUUGGAGUUCAAGCUUUUUUUCCUUUUUUUUUUGUUGUGUGUAUAUUUUUUUAAGUCUUUCUAUGUUCAUUUGGAUGUUUGAAAAAAGGAAACAGCUUCUUGCUUCUUCUUUUUUGUCCUACAAAAACUGUUUUGUCCUCUCUUCCCUAUACACAGACACACACACACUCUAUCUCUAUAUGUAUGGAUUUAUGUGUGUAUAUAUAUGUUUUUUGUGUGCGCGCGCGGUGUGUGUGUGUGUGUGUUCAAUUUGAGUGCUGAAAGCACAUGUUAAUUUGUCUGCAGCUACUUAGUGUCAAAAGCUUAGGAGAUAUUAAAUUUGAGUGACAUGGAACUUACAAUGGUAGUUGGACUGAACUAAUUUUAGAACUACAAAAAUAAGAGUAAACUUAUAUUGAGAUGGAAUCUCAAUCUUGUUGAACUAUAUGGGAGUUCACUCAAUUGACUAAAAGCUUUAAAUAUUUAAUGAGUAAGGUGCAAUAUUGCAGAGUUGUACUUCUUUUUCAAGGAUAAGAUUAAAAUAAAAUGUUAAGAAUUUGGUGAAUUAUGUCGAGGCAGAGAGACAAGAACAAUAAAAGGUAUUAUCUUUGUGUUUCUAUUGGUACUCUUUUCUUUCAUGUAAAAUGCAUUGUUGUAGUUUGGUUUAGAUGCUGAUACUUAAUAUACCUCAAGAAUAUAUACCCCUUUUGUCUUUGUGAUUGAUAUUAUUUACUUAAGUGUGUGCGGGAGAAACGAUAUGACAAUGAAAUAAAAGAUGUCGAGAAGGAGAAGAAAGCAAAAAAAAGGAUUGCAGAUUCAUUGUUUGAAGGUCGAGAAAAGAGGAAGAAGCUUGAUUGGAUAAGAGAAGAUGUGUGGAUAAUUUUUUUAGCAAUAUGGGAUAGUGAUGCAUUUAAGAAGAAGAGUGAACGAGCAAAGGCAGCCCGAGCCUCUCAAAAGGGUGGCUCGUUGCACUCCGGGGGAUCUAUGAGUUUUGUUGCGCAUCGACGGAGAUUGGAAAAGUUAAAAGGGGGACCAGUAUCUCAUGGAUAGAUAUCAUAGAAGUUUGGAUGAAUGGUGUCAGACGCAGCCUGCUUCUGAUGAUGGUACCCCAAUCCAACCAUCACCCGAUGAUAUGACUUCAAUAUGGGCAUAUGUGGCAGGUGGUGUAUCCAAAGGAAUAAUUUACGUGCUUGGAGUACAACGACCUUCCUCUUUUCGUCCAUCGCCAUUAUUUUCGGAUGCUCCUACUGCGCAAAAUCAGGAAGAAAUGGAAGCAAUGCGAAAGCAAAUUGAGUUGCUAUCGAAACGGUGUGAAACAACCGAAACUCACAUUGCUAGAGUGGAUAAAUACAUGAAAAGGCACAUGCCCCACUCUUAUGAUGAUGAAGAGACUGAAUCUGACGUGUAGUAGUGGUUUAUGGUUGAUUACUAUUCUUGAAUGUUUAGAUUUUAUAUUUAAAUUUUAUGGUAGAUUUGGAUGAUGUGGUAUAUAUGUUUAGACUUUAUUAUGUUAGUGUUGAUGUGUAUUAGCUACUUAGACUUGAUAUUGAAUAUUUAGACUUUAACUAAUGUUUUGGUUUGA